RNAcentral lists this transfer RNA (67 nucleotides) under Graptomyza semicircularia. RNAcentral describes it as "tRNA-His". Lineage: Eukaryota; Metazoa; Arthropoda; Insecta; Diptera; Syrphidae. The record is from RNAcentral.
AUUUAAAUAGUUUAAUUAAAAAUAUUGAUUUGUGGUGUCAAUGAUAUGAAUUUAUUCAUUUUAGAUU